UUCGUAUGAUGUUACCUUUAUAUAUUUGCUACUUCAGAGGGCCAUCAACCCAAUGAGACAACAUUUUCCACCAAGAUCUCUGACGAU
Molecule: small nucleolar RNA, 87 nt
Organism: Laccaria amethystina LaAM-08-1
Lineage: Eukaryota; Fungi; Basidiomycota; Agaricomycetes; Agaricales; Hydnangiaceae
Rfam family: Small nucleolar RNA SNORD24
About the family: U24 is a member of the C/D class of snoRNA which contain the C (UGAUGA) and D (CUGA) box motifs. C/D box snoRNAs have been shown to act as methylation guides for a number of RNA targets.
Source: Rfam